This 243-nucleotide ribosomal RNA is filed under the name uncultured bacterium. RNAcentral describes it as "partial 16S ribosomal RNA". It matches the Rfam family "Bacterial small subunit ribosomal RNA", at positions 524 to 769 of the family's 1533-position model. The record is from RNAcentral.
UACGUAGGGUGCAAGCGUUGUCCGGAAUUAUUGGGCGUAAAGAGCUCGUAGGCGGUUUGUCGCGUCUGCUGUGAAAACUCAGGGCUUAACCCUGAGCCUGCAGUGGGUACGGGCAGACUAGAGUGUGGUAGGGGAGAUCGGAAUUCCUGGUGUAGCGGUGGAAUGCGCAGAUAUCAGGAGGAACACCGGUGGCGAAGGCGGUUCUCUGGGCCUUACCUGCGCUGAGGAGCGAAGCGUGGGAGC